Molecule: ribosomal RNA, 253 nt
Filed under: uncultured bacterium
Lineage: Bacteria
Description: partial 16S ribosomal RNA
Rfam family: Bacterial small subunit ribosomal RNA
Source: RNAcentral
UACGAAGGGGGCUAGCGUUGCUCGGAAUCACUGGGCGUAAAGGGUGCGUAGGCGGGUCUUUAAGUCAGAGGUGAAAUCCUGGAGCUCAACUCCAGAACUGCCUUUGAUACUGAGGAUCUUGAGUAUGGGAGAGGUGAGUGGAACUGCGAGUGUAGAGGUGAAAUUCGUAGAUAUUCGCAAGAACACCAGUGGCGAAGGCGGCUCACUGGCCCAUUACUGACGCUGAGGCACGAAAGCGUGGGGAGCAAACAGG